AAGUAGCAAGCCCUUCAAUGGCCAAUUAACCCAUUACGGUAAAAAGGCGAUACUGAAUUUAAGCUGUAAAAAAAAUAUGAACGCAACUUGUGAAGUGUUUGUCCCUUGUUUCAUGAGCUGAAAUAAAAGACCCCAGACAUUUUCCAUGUGCACAAACAGCUUAUUUCUCUAAAAUGUUGUGCACAAAUGUGUUUACAUCCUUGUUAGUGAGCCUUUCUCCUUUGCCAUGAUAAUCCAUCCAUCUGACAAGUGUGGUAUAUCAACAAGCUGAUUAAACAGCAUGAUCAUUACACAUGUGCACCUUGUGCCUGGGACAAUAAAAGGCCACUCUAAAAUGUGUCGUUUUGUCACACAAAACAAUACCACAAUGUCUCAAUUUUUGAAGGAGCGUGCAAUUGGCAUGCUGACUGCAGAAAUGUCAGCCAGAACUGUUGCCAGAUAAUUUAAUGUUAAUUUCUCUACCAUAAGCCACCUCCAUCGUUUCAGAGAAUUUGUCAGUAUGUCCAACCGUUCUCACAACUGCGGACCACGUGUUUUUUGAUGUCAACCUUGUGAACAGAGUGCCCCAUGCUGGCGGUGGGGUUAUUUUUUUUAUAUUUUUUUCACCUUUAUUUAACCAGGUAGGCUAGUUGAGAAAUUCUCGUUUACAACUGCGACCUGGCCAAGAUAAAGCAAAGCAGUGCAAUACAAACAACAAUACAGAGUUACACAUGGAAUAAACAAACAUACAGUCAAUAAUACAAUAGAAAAAGUAUAUAUACAGUGUGUGCAAAUGAGGUAGGAUAAUGGAGGUAAGACAAUAAAUAAGCCAUAGUGGCAAAAUAAUUACAAAAUAGCAAUUAAACACUGGAGUGAUAGAUGUGCAGAAGAUGAGUGCAAGUAGAGAUACUGUGACGCUACGGUCACAAGACACAGGCCUCCUAAUUGUCCCUAGAAUUUCUAAGCAAACAGCUGGAGGCAGGGCUUUCUCCUAUAUAGCUCCAUUUUUAUGGAAUGGUCUGCCUACCCAUGUGAGAGACGCAAACUUGGUCUCAACCUUUAAGUCUUUACUGAAGACUCAUCUCUUCAGUGGCGCAUAUGAUUUUUUUUACCUUUAUUUUACUAGGCAAGUCAGUUAAGAGUUAACUGUCUGUUCAGGGGCAGAAUGACAGAUUUGUACCUUGUCAGCUCGGGGGUUUGAACUUGCAACCUUCCGGUUACUAGUCCAACGCUCUAACCACUAGGCUACCCUGCCGCCUCUGGCCCAGGAGUGUGAAGGUGAACAGAAAGGCUCUGGAGCAACGAACCGCCCUUGCUGUCUCUGCCUGGCCGGUUCCCCUCUUUCCACUGGGAUUCUCUGCCUCUAACCCUAUUACAGGGGCUGAGUCACUGGCUUACUAGGGCUCUUUCAUACCGUCCCUAGGAGGGGUGCGUCACUUGAGUGGGUUGAGUCACUGAUGUGAUAUUCCUGUCUGGGUUUGCGUCCCCCCUUGGGUUGUGCCGUGGCGGAGAUCUUUGUGGGCUAUACUCGGCCUUGUCUCAGGAUGAGGACCUGAGCCCUAGGAUCAUGCCUCAGGAAUACCUGGCAUGAUGACUCCUUGCUGUCCCCAGUACACCUGGCCGUGCUGCUGCUCCAGUUUCAACUGUUCUGCCUGUGAUUAUUAUUAUUUGACCAUGCUGGUAAUUUAUGAACAUUUGAACAUCUUGGCCAUGUUCUGUUAUAAUCUUCACCUGGCACAGCCAGAAGAGGACUGGCCACCCCUCAUAGCCUGGUUCCUCUCUAGGUUUCUUCCUAAGUUUUGGCCUUUCUAGGGAGUUUUUCCUAGCCACCGUGCUUCUACACCUGCAUUGCUUGCUGUUUGGGGUUUUAGGCUGGGUUUCUGUACAGCACUUUGAGAUAUAAGCUGAUGUACGAAGGGCUAUAUGAAUACAUUUGAUUUGAUUUGAUACUGGGGUGCAAAGGAGCAAAAUAACAGUAUGGGGAUGAGGUAGUUGGAUGGACUAUGUACAGGUGCAGUGAACAGUGAGCUGCUCUGACAGCUGGUGCUUAAAGCUAGUGAGGGAGAUGUGUCUCCAGCUUCAGUGAUUUUUACAGUUCGUUUCAGUCAUUGGCAGCAGAGAACUGGAAGGAAAAGCGGCCAAAAGAGGAAUUGGCAUUGGGGGUGACCAGCAAGAUAUACCUGCUGGAGUGCGUGCUACGGGUGGGUGCUGCUAUGGUGACCAUUAAGCUGAGAUAAGGCGGGGCUUUACCUAGCAAAAACGAAUAGAUGACCUGGAGCCAAGUGGGUUUGAAGCGAGGCACAGCCAACGAGAGCAUACAGGUCGCAGUGGUGGGUAGUAUAAGGGGCUUUGGUGACAAAAUGGAUGGCACUGUGAUAGACUGCAUCCAAUUUGCUGAGUAGAGUGUUGGAGGCUAUUUUGUAAAUGACAUCGCAGAAGUCAAGGAUCGAUAGGAUAGUAAGUUUUGCGAGGGUAUGUUUGGCAGCAUGAGUGAAGGAUCCUUUGUUGCGAAAUAGGAAGCCGAUUCUAGAUUUAAUUUUGGAUUGGAGAUGCUUAAUGUGAGUCUGGAAGGAGAGUUUACAGUCUAACCAGACACCUAGGUAUUUGUAGUUGUCCACAUAUUCUAAGUCAGAACCGUCCAGAGUUGCUGGACGGGCGGGCAUGUGUGGGCAGCGAUCGGUUAAAGAGCAUGCAUUUAGUUUUUCUUGCAUUUAAGAGCUGUUGGAGGCCUCGGAAGGAUAGUUGUAUGGAAUUGAAGCUUGUCUGGAGGUUAGUUAACACAGUGUCCAAAGAAGGGCCAGAAGUAUACAGAAUGGUGUCGUCUGCGUAGAGGUGGAUCAGAGAAUCACCAGCAGCAAGAGCGACAUCAUUGAUGUAUACAGAGAAAAGAAUCGUCCCGAGGAUUAAACCCUGUGGCACCCCCAUAGUGACUGCCAGAGGUCUGGACAACAGGCCCUCUGAUUUGACACAUUGAACUCUGUCAUUUGAGAAACCAAGACUGUUGAGUCUGCUGAUAAGAAUGUGGUGAUUGACAGAGUCGAAAGCCUUGGCCAGGUCGAUGAAUACAGCUGCAUAGUAUUGUCUCUUAUCGAUGGCAGUUAUGAUAUCAUUUAGGAACUUGAGCGUAGCUGAGGUGCACCCAUGACCAGCUCUGAAACCAGAUUGCAUAGCGGAGAAGGUACGGUGGGAUUCAAAAUGGUCGGUGAUCUGUUUGUUAACUUAGCUUUCGAAGACCUUAGAAAGGCAGGGUAGGAUAGAUAUAGGUCUGUACCAGUUUGGGUUAAAUUAGGGCCUUAUUUAAAAAAAAUUCAAUUGACUGAUUUCCUCAUAUGAACUGUAACUCGGUAAAAUCUUUGAAAUUGUUGCAUGUUGCGUUUAUGUUUGUUCAGUAUAUAUCAGCGCUCAUGAUGAGACCUGCAUCCCUUCACCAAGCUAUAAUACAUAGUGUUCUAAAGUAUGUUUGCGAGGGAAAAUUCGGUCCUGUGCACUUUGAGCAGCUCUCUUUAUUCGCAGGCCUAUUUCAAAUGGAUUUCUCUUUUAUUUGCCAGGAUACUUACUCAGAUGUUUGGCAUAGUUUCUGUCUGAUUAAUAUCCCCAUUUUUGUGAUCUAAUAGGCUGUUUUUAUACUAGCUGCUAGUAGCCUAGGUCAGUGGUCCCCAAACUGUGGGGUGUGCCCCCCAUGGCGAUGUUGGCUAGCAAAGCUCAUGCGUAGAAACACGUCAUCAGGUCGAAUGGUCGUCUCGCGCUGAACUGCACAUGUGCAGGCCGUCAAAUCAAGGGCACUCCUUUGAUAUAAAGUUGUUUAAAAAAACAAGUGUCACCUUCACGAGGUUGGAGUAAUAACAUGUUCAACUACUUAAGACAUUGGCUUGAAUCUAGGUUCUGCCUUUAGAUUUUGAGAAAGAAUACUUUUCCACUUCUCUCAUUAACUUCUCAAACCAGGGUCCGGUCUGUUUCGCAAGCGUUCCCAGAAGUCUCUAGAUGUUGUGCAUCUGGGUUUGGAAACUCUGUGGUGUAAUGACACUUGCCUAGGUAGGCCUUUUAAGAUCCCCCAACAUGGUUAACCCUUAUUGGAGAGGGGUUAGCAGGUCUGGUCUGUCUACUGGCUGGGAAACCUGGACUCGAGACAUGCAAGUGAUGUUCCAAUGUCACUGUUCGCAAUAAUCACUACUGUGAAAUAGCUGUCGGCUAUUCCUUUAUGAUUCAUUGUGCAAAUGCAGUAAACCAAUGCAAUUAACUAAAUACUAGUAUGUCAAUAUCUACGCUUAUACAGUAUCUACUGUGAAACUGAA
Long non-coding RNA from Oncorhynchus tshawytscha (Chinook salmon), 4271 nucleotides. The record is from Ensembl. Lineage: Eukaryota; Metazoa; Chordata; Actinopteri; Salmoniformes; Salmonidae.